This 513-nucleotide ribosomal RNA is filed under the name uncultured bacterium. Its description in RNAcentral is "partial 16S ribosomal RNA". It matches the Rfam family "Bacterial small subunit ribosomal RNA", at positions 28 to 523 of the family's 1533-position model. The record is from RNAcentral.
GAUGAACGCUGGCGGCGUGCCUAAUACAUGCAAGUCGAGCGUACAGAUAAGGAGCUUGCUCCUUUGAAGUUAGCGGCGGACGGGUGAGUAACACGUGGGUAACCUACCUAUAAGACUGGGAUAACUGCGGGAAACCGGAGCUAAUACCGGCUAACAUUUAGAACCGCAUGGUUCUAAAGUGAAUGAUGGUUUUGCUAUCACUUAUAGAUGGACACGCGCCGUAUUAGCGCGUUGGUAAGGUAACGGCUUACCAAGGUGACGAUACGUAGCCGACCUGCGAGGGUGAGCGGCCACACUGGAACUGAGACACGGUCCAGACUCCUACGGGAGGCAGCAGUAGGGAAUCUUCCGCAAUGGGCGAAAGCCUGACGGAACAACGCCGCGUGAGUGAUGAAGGGUUUCGGCUCGUAAAACUCUGUUAUUAGGGAAGAACAAAUGUGUAAGUAACUGUGCACAUCUUGACGGUACCUAAUCAGAAAGCCACGGCUAACGACGUGCCAGCCGCCGCCGUAA